GAUGAACGCUGGCGGCGUGCCUAAUACAUGCAAGUCGAGCGAACAGACGAGGAGCUUGCUCCUCUGACGUUAGCGGCGGACGGGUGAGUAACACGUGGAUAACCUACCUAUAAGACUGGGAUAACUUCGGGAAACCGGAGCUAAUACCGGAUAAUAUAUUGAACCGCAUGGUUCAAUAGUGAAAGACUGUUUUGCUGUCACUUAUAGAUGGAUCCGCGCCGCAUUAGCUAGUUGGUAAGGUAACGGCUUACCAAGGCAACGAUGCGUAGCCGACCUGAGAGGGUGAUCGGCCACACUGGAACUGAGACACGGUCCAGACUCCUACGGGAGGCAGCAGUAGGGAAUCUUCCGCAAAGGGCGAAAGCCUGACGGAGCAACGCCGCGUGAGUGAUGAAGGUCUUCGGAUCGUAAAACUCUGUUAUUAGGGAAGAACAAAUGUGUAAGUAACUAUGCACGUCUUGACGGUACCUAAUCAGAAAGCCACGGCUAACUACGUG
RNAcentral lists this ribosomal RNA (497 nucleotides) under uncultured bacterium. RNAcentral describes it as "partial 16S ribosomal RNA". It matches the Rfam family "Bacterial small subunit ribosomal RNA", at positions 28 to 507 of the family's 1533-position model. The record is from RNAcentral.